CUUCUUGAAGAUCCACUUGACCCUAUUGGGGUCAUAUCCUCAGGUGCAUCAAUCAAGGUCCACACUUGGUUGGUGUAUAUUGAGUCCAUCUCAAAUUUCAUGGCUUCCAGCCAUCUGUUUGAGUCUCUACACAUGACAGCUUCUGAAUAGAUCAGUGGAUCAUCAUCAUGGAUGAUGUUGAUCGAAUUAUCACUCUCAGUGAUA
This 204-nucleotide long non-coding RNA is filed under the name Elaeis guineensis (African oil palm). RNAcentral's name for it is "long non-coding RNA (EGUI_LNC058132)". Lineage: Eukaryota; Viridiplantae; Streptophyta; Magnoliopsida; Arecales; Arecaceae. The record is from RNAcentral.